Molecule: ribosomal RNA, 116 nt
Organism: Gorilla gorilla gorilla (western lowland gorilla)
Lineage: Eukaryota; Metazoa; Chordata; Mammalia; Primates; Hominidae
Source: Ensembl
GUCUACGGCCAUACCACCCUGAACGCGCCCGAUCUCGUCUGAUCUCGGAAGCUAAGCAGGGUCGGGCCUGGUUAUUACUUGGAUGGGAGACAGAAAAAUAAGUGGAUGAGUGGGUA